CUGAGAUCCACGUGUGUCUCUUUUUUGGUGUGUUUGUUUUACUAAGUGAAGAAGAAGCUUCAGUUUCUGCUAAAAUACGACCUUUUCUGGCCUCUGAGACAAAAGCUGAAGCUGAGUCUUGUUAAAACAGGGACUUUUGACAUUUCCAGCAUCAACCCUGGAUAAGAUCUGUCAUCUGAUUGCAUCAACACAACAGAACAUUACUCUGAAAUUCACCCGCAAGGUUUCCGCUGUGUUCAGAAGACAGGAAGCAGGUUCAGAGUGAAGAGCAUGCGGCGCAUCAUCAUCAUCACCAUCAUCAUCGUCACACUGCAAGAGAAAGUGCAAGAUUUGGGCUUUAGGAGCGUUUUCUAUGUGUGAACAUCCAACACCUGAACCAUGAACAAGCGGAAACUCAAUCUCAAGUGGUUUGGGAGCCUCACCAAUCUCACCAUCUGCCGCCAGUCAGCGAAGACCAACACCAAGACCGCCCCCGAGCAUGAUGGGAGCCUCUGUGGUGCCAAAUCAGCAGCGGCCGGGGACCAGUCGGUGGAUGACAUGAGCUCGUGCGUGCACAGCCCCAGCUACGCCUGCUCCAGAGACAUGUACACGCAUGUGGGCACUAUGCCCUGCAGCAAGAAGCAGAAGAAGAACGGCAGGGGGCUGAAGGAGAAGAAGAAGAAGAAGGAGGAGGAGGAGGAAGAUAGGGUGAGUGGAGGGCAGAGCCAGAGGAAGGCGGGAGAACACGUCCAAGACUCCCCCCUGCUCAGUGCUCUGUCCAGCCUCAGUCUGAGCAGUCUGGACCAACCUGUGCCUGUUUCUACACCCACCCGGCUGCUGCCCGCCACCCCGACACCCGUCCGGGCUUCACCUUUGACCUCGGCACCCGAAAUCCGCUUCAAGGAUCCUCCAGGAGAGGCACUGUCAAGAAGCAAGGAUGCUUCAGUAGGAAAGCCUUCAGAUAUGGCAGUUAAUGGCCCAAAGGUGGUUCCCAUGCAGGAUGUGUACGUGCAGAUGGACCCGAUAGGUGAGGGGGCUCGCAGCCAUGUGGACGACCAAACGGAGCAGCAGUGGGGGUUAUCACAGGAAAGCACCAGGACUGAGAAGGGUACUGACAGGUGAGAGAGUUUGAAAUAGUCUGUUUGGUUUCUCAGCCUGAGAUUCUAAUCAGAUUUCCUUUUAAAGGAGCAUGAGAACUAAAGCUUUAAAGCAGAAAGUCCCCAUCCUGUCAGGCUGUUGUUGUCUCAUUUCCUGAACUAUGUUACUUUCUUCAUGGCAACGUCAAACCAGAUAGCAGCAAAACAAAAUGCAGUGAACAAAGACAGAUACAGGAAUGAGAUUGUAAUUGCACAGAACGGACUGCACAUCUGGGCAGUGGUUGUGUAUCUGUCAGGACUGUGACUCUGGGUGUCCCAGUGAAUAACAAGAUAAGUAUUUAUAAACAGAAUAAGAUUAAGGUGAUACCGACCCGGUUCUGCCCUUAUAAUACCGAGACAGUUAUAAGAACAAAGUCCUUUAAUUUUACAAAGACACGAUGACAGGAAGACUAACCUAUAAAAAUACUUCGAUACUAAAGUAGUAAGUAAAAAUAUACGAAUGUUCUAAUAAAGUGAUUUAUUCUAAAUAACCCUGGUCUAGAUUAA
RNAcentral lists this long non-coding RNA (1622 nucleotides) under Mastacembelus armatus (zig-zag eel). Its description in RNAcentral is "lncRNA (ENSMAMG00000026786.1)". Lineage: Eukaryota; Metazoa; Chordata; Actinopteri; Synbranchiformes; Mastacembelidae. The record is from RNAcentral.